UUUUCAGAUAGAAUAAUCUUUACUAGUUUAUUAGAGGGCAGAUAGAAUAUGAUUAUUUGAGUGCACAUGAUUCAUGAUUAAUGUCUCUGCUUGAUUAGGGUUUGUAGCACCCCAAUCGCUCCUAUCUGAU
Molecule: small nucleolar RNA, 130 nt
Organism: Sorex fumeus (smoky shrew)
Lineage: Eukaryota; Metazoa; Chordata; Mammalia; Eulipotyphla; Soricidae
Product: U8 small nucleolar RNA
Exons: 1
Source: RefSeq, a predicted model, not a curated record